AACGAACGCUGGCGGCAUGCCUAACACAUGCAAGUCGAACGAGACCUUCGGGUCUAGUGGCGCACGGGUGCGUAACGCGGGGGAACCUGCCCUUAGGUUCGGAAUAACUCCCCGUAAGGGGUGCUAAUACCGGAUAAUGUCGUCGGACCAAAGAUUUAUCGCCUUUGGAUGGGCCCGCGUUGGAUUAGCUAGUUGGUAGGGUAAAAGCCUACCAAGGCGACGAUCCAUAGCUGGUCUGAGAGGAUGAUCAGCCACACUGGGACUGAGACACGGCCCAGACUCCUACGGGAGGCAGCAGUGGGGAAUAUUGGACAGUGGGCGAAAGCCUGAUCCCGCAAUGCCGCGUGAGUGAUGAAGGCCUUAGGGUUGUAAAGCUCUUUUACCCGGGAUGAUAAUGACAGUACCGGGAGAAUAAGCUCCGGCUAACUACGUG
Molecule: ribosomal RNA, 433 nt
Filed under: uncultured bacterium
Lineage: Bacteria
Description: partial 16S ribosomal RNA
Rfam family: Bacterial small subunit ribosomal RNA
Source: RNAcentral